AGAGUUUGAUCCUGGCUCAGGACGAACGCUGGCGGCGUGCCUAAUACAUGCAAGUAGAACGCUGAAGAAAGGAGCUUGCUUCUUUUGGAUGAGUUGCGAACGGGUGAGUAACGCGUAGGUAACCUGCCUUGUAGCGGGGGAUAACUAUUGGAAACGAUAGCUAAUACCGCAUAACAGCUUUUGACACAUGUUAGAAGCUUGAAAGAUGCAAUUGCAUCACUACGAGAUGGACCUGCGUUGUAUUAGCUAGUAGGUAGGGUAACGGCCUACCUAGGCGACGAUACGUAGCCGACCUGAGAGGGUGAUCGGCCACACUGGGACUGAGACACGGCCCUGACUCCUACGGGAGGCAGCAGUAGGGAAUCUUCGGCAAUGGGGGCAACCCUGACCGAGCAACGCCGCGUGAGUGAAGAAGGUUUUCGGAUCGUAAAGCUCUGUUGUAAGAGAAGAACGUGUGUGAGAGUGGAAAGUUCACACAGUGACGGUAACUUACCAGAAAGGGACGGCUAACUACGUGCCAGCAGCCGCGGUAAUACGUAGGUCCCGAGCGUUGUCCGGAUUUAUUGGGCGUAAAGCGAGCGCAGGCGGUUUAAUAAGUCUGAAGUUAAAGGCAUUGGCUUAACCAUUGUUCGCUUUGGAGACUGUUAAACUUGAGUGUAGAAGGGGAGAGUGGAAUUCCAUGUGUAGCGGUGAAAUGCGUAGAUAUAUGGAGGAACACCGGUGGCGAAAGCGGCUCUCUGGUCUGUAACUGACGCUGAGGCUCGAAAGCGUGGGGAGCAAACAGGAUUAGAUACCCUGGUAGUCCACGCCGUAAACGAUGAGUGCUAGGUGUUAGGCCCUUUCCGGGGCUUAGUGCCGCAGCUAACGCAUUAAGCACUCCGCCUGGGGAGUACGACCGCAAGGUUGAAACUCAAAUGAAUUGACGG
RNAcentral lists this ribosomal RNA (926 nucleotides) under uncultured bacterium. RNAcentral describes it as "bacterial SSU rRNA". It matches the Rfam family "Bacterial small subunit ribosomal RNA", at positions 8 to 916 of the family's 1533-position model. The record is from RNAcentral.